This 585-nucleotide ribosomal RNA is filed under the name Triticum aestivum (bread wheat). RNAcentral describes it as "partial small subunit ribosomal RNA". Lineage: Eukaryota; Viridiplantae; Streptophyta; Magnoliopsida; Poales; Poaceae. The record is from RNAcentral.
AUGGCCAAAUAUUGGUGGGGAAGCUCUUUUGACAAAAAAUCGCUGCAUUGGAUAUCUUGGGAUAAGUUGACAUUGCCAAAGGUCAAGGGGGGAAUGGGCUUUCGGGAUCCCCAAGUGUUCAACCUCGCCAUGUUAGGCAAACAAGGUUGGCGACUGCUAACAAAUCCCAAUUCGUUGUGUGCCCGGGUGCUCAAAGGGAGAUACUACCCACACACGGAUUUUCUCCAUGCCACGGUACCGGCCCGAGCUUCGACGACAUGGAAAGCAAUAGUGGCGGGACGGAAGGCAUUGGAGGUUGGUUUAAUUCACCGGGUUGGGGACGGCUCCACAAUCUCCAUCUGGACAGACCCGUGGAUACCAAAUACACUAUCGUGGAAACCAACAGGUCGCCUUGGCGCUACACCUUUGACUAGGGUUUCUGAGUUGAUUCAUGAUUAUACUGGCAAUUGGGAUGAGGAACUAAUACGCCAAAACUUCCUACAUCCUGACGCAGAGGCAAUCUUGAAUAUCCCUCUCAAUUCGGUGGGAGGGGAAGAUAUAUUGGCAUGGGACUAGGAAAAGUCAGGAAACUACUCUGUAAAGUGA